RNAcentral lists this unclassified non-coding RNA (924 nucleotides) under Hevea brasiliensis (rubber tree). Lineage: Eukaryota; Viridiplantae; Streptophyta; Magnoliopsida; Malpighiales; Euphorbiaceae. The record is from RNAcentral.
AUUUUUUUGAUCCUAAGCUUAGUGAAUAACUUCGAAGAUUUUGGGGGUAGACAUCAGUAUGUUGAGUGGGCAAGGGAACGUGGCCUGCAAUUGAGUAACGAUGAUGACUUCUACACAAAUCCUGUGGUCAAAACAUUCUAUAAAAACCAUGUAAAGGCUGUGCUCACAAGAGUUAACUCAAUUACAGGGUUGACAUAUAAAGAUGAUCCGACCAUUUUUGCUUGGGAAUUGAUAAAUGAACCUCGUUCCAAUGACUCCUCUGGAUCACAAAUUCAGGACUGGGUCAAAGAAAUGGCGUCCCACGUUAAAUCCGUAGAUAGCUGCCAUCUACUGGAGAUUGGGCUUGAAGGGUUUUAUGGGGAGUCGAUGAAGCAGUUCAAUCCGGGUAAUUUCCUUGUUGGGACUGAUUUCAUCUCCAACAAUCAAGUCCCAGAGAUUGAUUUUACCACCAUUCAUCUCUACCCUGAGCAAUGGUUGCCAAAUUCAAGCGAAGAGGAGCAGGCUGCUUUUGUAGACAGAUGGGUCAAAGACCAUAUCCAAGAUUCCAAUUCAGUGCUGCACAAACCACUUAUUAUUGGGGAAUUCGGAAGGUCUUCCAGGAUUCCUGGAUACAGCUUACAGAAAAGGGACAGCUAUUUUGUGGAGAUAUAUAAUGCCAUAUACAGCAGUGUUAUAAGUGGGGGCCCAUUUAAUGGUGGUCUCUUUUGGCAACUCAUGGCCCAAGGAAUGGACAGCUGGGGAGAUGGCUACCAAGUAGUCUUGGAGGAGAGCCCCUCUACGGCCAGUGUGAUUGCUGAACAGUCUCGCAGACUAUCAUCUAUUAAAUGAAAAAAUUAAAAAGAAAAUACUUCUGAUAUACACAUGUAGGAAUCACAAAAUAAAUUUGUAUCCCUGUAUUGGUUUCCAUCCACAGGAAGAGAAAAG